Molecule: transfer RNA, 73 nt
Filed under: Candidatus Aminicenantota bacterium
Lineage: Bacteria; Candidatus Aminicenantota
Also listed under: 1 other name
Description: Candidatus Aminicenantes bacterium tRNA-Thr
Rfam family: tRNA
About the family: Transfer RNA (tRNA) molecules are approximately 80 nucleotides in length. Their secondary structure includes four short double-helical elements and three loops (D, anti-codon, and T loops). Further hydrogen bonds mediate the characteristic L-shaped molecular structure. tRNAs have two regions of fundamental functional importance: the anti-codon, which is responsible for specific mRNA codon recognition, and the 3' end, to which the tRNAs corresponding amino acid is attached (by aminoacyl-tRNA synthetases). tRNAs cope with the degeneracy of the genetic code in two manners: having more than one tRNA (with a specific anti-codon) for a particular amino acid; and 'wobble' base-pairing, i.e. permitting non-standard base-pairing at the 3rd anti-codon position.
Source: RNAcentral
GCCGGUGUAGCUCAGUUGGUAGAGCGCUUGAUUCGUAAUCAAAAGGUCGGCAGUUCGAAUCUGCCCAUCGGCU